RNAcentral lists this ribosomal RNA (1414 nucleotides) under uncultured bacterium. RNAcentral's name for it is "bacterial SSU rRNA". It matches the Rfam family "Bacterial small subunit ribosomal RNA". The record is from RNAcentral.
AGAGUUUGAUCCUGGCUCAGGACGAACGCUGGCGGCGUGCCUAACACAUGCAAGUCGAACGGAGAUAUGAUUUCGGUUGUAUCUUAGUGGCGAACGGGUGAGUAACGCGUGAGCAACCUGACUCUUAGAGGGGGAUAACACUCGGAAACGAGUGCUAAUACCGCAUAAGACCACGACAUGGCAUCAUGACGAGGUCAACAUGACGAGGUCAAAGGAGCAAUCCGCUUUGAGAUGGGCCCGCGGCUGAUUAGCUAGUUGGUGAGGUAAUGGCUCACCAAGGCGACGAUCAGUAGCCGACCUGAGAGGGUGACCGGCCACACUGGGACUGAGACACGGCCCAGACUCCUACGGGAGGCAGCAGUGGGGAAUUUUCGGCAAUGGGCGCAAGCCUGACCGAGCAACGCCGCGUGAGGGAAGAAGGCCUUCGGGUUGUAAAGCUCUGUUGUAAGGGAAGAAUGGUAACUUUGAAAAUAUUGAGGUUACAUGACGGUACCCAAGGAGGAAGCCCCGGCUAACUACGUGCCAGCAGCCGCGGUAAUACGUAGGGGGCAAGCGUUGUCCGGAAUUAUUGGGCGUAAAGGGCGCGUAGGCGGAUCGUUAAGUCCGGUGUGAAAGAUCAGGGCUCAACCCCGGAAGGCCUUUGGAACUGGUCAGCUUGAGUGCAGGAGAGGAAAGCGGAAUUCCUAGUGUAGCGGUGAAAUGCGUAGAUAUUAGGAGGAACACCAGUGGCGAAGGCGACUUUCUGGACUGUAACUGACGCUGAGGCGCGAAAGCGUGGGGAUCAAACAGGAUUAGAUACCCUGGUAGUCCACGCCGUAAACGAUGAGUGCUAGGUGUCGGGGGUAUCGACCCCCUCGGUGCCACAGCUAACGCAAUAAGCACUCCGCCUGGGGAGUACGGUCGCAAGACUGAAACUCAAAGGAAUUGACGGGGGCCCGCACAAGCGGUGGAGUAUGUGGAUUCGACGCAACGCGAAGAACCUUACCAAGGCUUGACAUCCUGUGACAGCUAUAGAAAUAUAGACUUCUUAGUUUACUAAGACACAGAGACAGGUGGUGCAUGGUUGUCGUCAGCUCGUGUCGUGAGAUGUUGGGUUAAGUCCCGCAACGAGCGCAACCCCUACAGCCAGUUGCCAGCACAUAAAGGUGGGAACUCUGGCAGAACUGCCGUUGACAAAACGGAGGAAGGUGGGGAUGACGUCAAAUCAUCAUGCCCCUUAUGUCUUGGGCUACACACGUACUACAAUGGCCUGAACAGAGGGAAGCAAAACUGCGAAGUUAAGCGAAUCCCUUAAAACAGGUCCCAGUUCGGAUUGUAGGCUGCAACUCGCCUACAUGAAGUCGGAAUCGCUAGUAAUCGCAGGUCAGCAUACUGCGGUGAAUACGUUCCCGGGCCUUGUACACACCGCCCGUCA